UCCUCUUCAGUCCCGCUUGAAGGGCAAUUCGUGCCUUGAGUGUGUUGGUGUUCCUGUGUUGAAUGCCCAACGUGAUGGAAAUUGGCCGCUGAUGAGUCCUAAUUUUUGACUCUCACCAAUUCGCGGUGUUAGGUUGACGUGGAAGUACGGCCCAUUCUCCUUGAAUGCUUCGCCCUUUGGCGUUGCAGUCAUGGCCCAUGGGUUGCUACUAGUUCCCUCGGAUGCAGAACCUUUCAAUGGGUGGUGCAAAGUAAGUUGGCCACACAGUGUUCAUUUUCGAUCGGUGCGUACGACAGCUGUGCCCGUCUUGGCCACCUCUCUAACUAGUUUAGAUGGGGCUCAUGCGGUGCCGGCGUCGCGAAGGAAUGCUACCUGGUUGAUCCUGCCAG
Molecule: unclassified non-coding RNA, 389 nt
Filed under: Niemeyera sp. Ford 2429
Lineage: Eukaryota; Viridiplantae; Streptophyta; Magnoliopsida; Ericales; Sapotaceae
Description: partial contains external transcribed spacer and 18S ribosomal RNA; ETS
Source: RNAcentral